AUUGAACGCUGGCGGCAUGCCUUACACAUGCAAGUCGAACGGUAACGGGCCUUCGGGUGCCGACGAGUGGCGAACGGGUGAGUAAUACAUCGGAACGUGCCCGAUCGUGGGGGAUAACGAGGCGAAAGCUUUGCUAAUACCGCAUACGAUCUACGGAUGAAAGCAGGGGACCGCAAGGCCUUGCGCGGACGGAGCGGGCGAUGGCAGAUUAGGUUGUUGGUGGGAUAAAAGCUUACCAAGCCGACGAUCUGUAGCUGGUCUGAGAGGGUGAUCAGCCACACGGGAACUGAGACACGGCCCAGACGCCUACGGGAGGCAGCAGUGGGGAAUUUUAGACAAUGGGCGCAAGCCUGAUCCAGCCAGGCCGAGUGCAGGAUGAAGGCCUUCGGGUUGUAAACUGCUUUUGUACGGAACGAAAAGCCUUCGUUUAAUACAGGAGGGUCAUGACGGUACCGUAUGAAUAAGCACCGGCUAACUACGUG
This 482-nucleotide ribosomal RNA is filed under the name uncultured bacterium. RNAcentral's name for it is "partial 16S ribosomal RNA". It matches the Rfam family "Bacterial small subunit ribosomal RNA", at positions 30 to 507 of the family's 1533-position model. The record is from RNAcentral.